GACGAACGCUGGCGGCGUGCCUAAUACAUGCAAGUUGAGCGCUGAAGGUUGGUACUUGUACCAACUGGAUGAGCAGCGAACGGGUGAGUAACGCGUGGGGAAUCUGCCUUUGAGCGGGGGACAACAUUUGGAAACGAAUGCUAAUACCGCAUAAAAACUUUAAACACAAGUUUGAAGGUUGAAAGAUGCAAUUGCAUCACUCAAAGAUGAUCCCGCGUUGUAUUAGCUAGUUGGUGAGGUAAAGGCUCACCAAGGCGAUGAUACAUAGCCGACCUGAGAGGGUGGUCGGCCACAUUGGGACUGAGACACGGCCCAACCUCCUUCGGGAGGCAGCCGUAGGGAAUCUUCGGCCAUAGACGAAAGUCUGACCGCGCAACGCCGCGUGAGUGAAGAAGGUUUUCGGAUCGUAAAACUCUGUUGGUAGAGAAGAACGUUGGUGAGAGUGGAACGCUCAUCAAGUGACGGUAACUACCCAGAAAGCGACGGCUAACUACGUG
RNAcentral lists this ribosomal RNA (497 nucleotides) under uncultured bacterium. RNAcentral's name for it is "partial 16S ribosomal RNA". It matches the Rfam family "Bacterial small subunit ribosomal RNA", at positions 28 to 507 of the family's 1533-position model. The record is from RNAcentral.